GUUGCAGGAUUAAGUAAAUAAGCGUAUAUGGUGGAUGCCUUGGCAGUCAGAGGCGAUGAAGGACGUACUAAUCUGCGAAAAGUAUCGGGUAGCUGAUAAGAAGCGAUUAAUCCGGUAAUAUCCGAAUGGGGAAACCCGAUAUAUUAAAAAUAUAUCAUUUCUAUUUGAAUCUAUAGAGUAGAAAAGCAAACCAAGAGAACUGAAACAUCUAAGUAUCUUGAGGAAAAGAAAUCAACCGAGAUUCCCUAAGUAGUGGCGAGCGAAAGGGGAAAAGCCUAGAGAACUAAUCUUUAAAUAAAUUUUAGUAGAAUGAUUUGGAAAAAUCAGCUAUAAAAAGUGAUAGCCUUGUAUACAAAAAAAAAUAUUUAAAGAUCUCAAAAAGUAGAGCGAGACACGAGAAAUCUUGUUUGAAGAUGGGGGGACCAUCCUCCAAGGCUAAAUACUCCUGACUGACCGAUAGUGAACUAGUACCGUAAGGGAAAGGCGAAAAGAACCCCGGUUAGGGGAGUGAAAUAGAUCCUGAAACCGUAUACGUACAAGCAGUAGGAGCUUUUUUUAGAAAAGUGACUGCGUACCUUUUGUAUAAUGGGUCAGCGACUUGUAUUCUGUAGCAAGGUUAACCAAUUAGGGGAGCCGAAGGGAAACCGAGUCUUAAAAGGGCAUACAAAAAAUCUAAUUUUUAUUUAGUUGCAGGAUACAGACCCGAAACCCGGUGAUCUAGCCAUGGACAGGUUGAAGGUUAGGUAAAACUAACUGGAGGACCGAACCGACUAAUGUUGAAAAAUUAGCGGAUGAUUUGUGGCUAGGGGUGAAAGGCCAAUCAAACCGGGAUAUAGCUGGUUCUCCCCGAAAGCUAUUUAGGUAGCGCCUCGUGAAUUCCUCUACGGGGGUAGAGCACUGUUUUGGCUAGGGGGUCAUCCCGACCUACCAAACCAAUGCAAACUCCGAAUACCGUAGAAUGUUAUCACGGGAGACACACAGCGGGUGCUAACGUUCGUUGUGGAAAGGGAAACAACCCAGAUCGCCAGCUAAGGUCCCUAAAUCAUAAUUAAGUGGCAAACGAUGUGGAAAGGCAUAAACAGCCAGGAUGUUGGCUUAGAAGCAGCCAUCAUUUAAAGAAAGCGUAAUAGCUCACUGGUCGAGUCGGUCUGCGCGGAAGAUUUAACGGGGCUAAAUUAUGUACCGAAGCUGCGACAAUAUAAAAUAUAACAAUUUUAAGCUUUCUCAGAAAAUUUUAAAAUAUGUUGAUUUAAAACGCAAAAUUUAUAUUGGGUAGGGGAGCGUUCUGUAAGCCGUAGAAGGUAUAUUGUAAAAUAUAUUGGAGGUAUCAGAAGUGCGAAUGCUGACAUGAGUAACGAUAAAGCAGGUAAAAAACCUGCUCGCCGAAAAACCAAGGUUUCCUGUCCAACGUUAAUCGGGGCAGGGUAAGCCGACACCUAAGGUGAGGCCGAAAGGCGUAAUCGAUGGACAACAGGUUAAUAUUCCUGUGCUUAGUAUUAUUGUGAUGGGGGGACGAAGAAGGUUAGGUCAUCCAGGCGAUGGUAGUCCUGGUUUAAACGUGUAGGCAUGAAAAUUAGGCAAAUCCGAUUUUCUUUAAACUGAGGCGUGAUGACGAUUCUCUAUAAUAAUUAUAGAGAAGAAGUGAUUAAUACCAUACUUCCAAGAAAAGCCUCUAAGCAUUAUAAAAUAAUUCUAAAUCGUACCCCAAACCGACACAGGUGGUUAGGUAGAGUAUACCAAGGCGCUUGAGAGAACCCAGAUGAAGGAACUAGGCAAAAUAGUGCCGUAACUUCGGGAGAAGGCACGCUAACAUGUAAGUGAAAAGAUUUACUCUUGAAGCUGAAGUUAGUCGAAGAUACCAGCUGGCUGCAACUGUUUAUUAAAAACACAGCACUGUGCAAACACGUAAGUGGAAGUAUACGGUGUGACGCCUGCCCGGUGCCGGAAGGUUAAUCGAAGGAGUCAAAAUUGAUUUAAUUUGAUUUGAAGCUCUAGACUGAAGCCCCGGUAAACGGCGGCCGUAACUAUAACGGUCCUAAGGUAGCGAAAUUCCUUGUCGGGUAAGUUCCGACCUGCACGAAUGGCGUAAUGAUGGCCAGGCUGUCUCCAUCUGGGACUCAGUGAAAUUGAAAUCGCUGUGAAGAUGCAGUGUACCCGCGGCAAGACGGAAAGACCCCGUGAACCUUUACUAUAGCUUGACACUGAAUUCUGAAAUUAAAUGUGUAGGAUAGGUGGGAGACUAUGAAAUUAUUGCGCAAGUGAUAAGGGAGUCAACCUUGAAAUACCACCCUUUUAAUAUUAGUAUUCUAACCUAGUACCGUUAACCGGUACAGAGACAGUGUCUGGUGGGUAGUUUGACUGGGGCGGUCUCCUCCCAAAAAGUAACGGAGGAGUACAAAGAUUGGCUAAUUACGGUUGGAAAUCGUAAGGUUAGUAUAAAGAUAUAAGCCAGUUUAACUGUAAGCGUGAUAACGCGAACAGAUGCGAAAGCAGGUCUUAGUGAUCCGGUGGUUCUGUAUGGAAGGGCCAUCGCUCAACAAAUAAAAGGUACUCCGGGGAUAACAGGCUGAUACCGCCCAAGAGUUCAUAUCGACGGCGGUGUUUGGCACCUCGAUGUCGGCUCAUCACAUCCUGGGGCUGAAGCAGGUCCCAAGGGUAUGGCUGUUCGCCAUUUAAAGUGGUACGCGAGCUGGGUUUAGAACGUCGUGAGACAGUUCGGUCCCUAUCUGCCGUGGGCGAAGGAAAAUUGAGGGGGGCUAUUUCUAGUACGAGAGGACCGAAGUGGACGCAUCACUGGUGUUCGGGUUGUCAUGCCAAUGGCAUUGCCCGGUAGCUACAUGCGGAAAAGAUAAGUGUUGAAAGCAUCUAAACACGAAACUUGCCCCAAGAUUAAUUUUCCCUGUGUUUGUUUAUAACAAACACUGAAGGGACGUUGAAGACUACGACGUAGAUAGGCUGGGUGUGUAAGAGUAGUAACACUUUUAGCUAACCAGUACUAAUGACCCAAUCGUCUUAAUCCUGCAACACCAGA
This 3031-nucleotide ribosomal RNA is filed under the name Buchnera aphidicola (Thelaxes californica). RNAcentral describes it as "23S ribosomal RNA". It matches the Rfam family "Bacterial large subunit ribosomal RNA". The record is from RNAcentral. Lineage: Bacteria; Pseudomonadati; Pseudomonadota; Gammaproteobacteria; Enterobacterales; Erwiniaceae.